RNAcentral lists this ribosomal RNA (497 nucleotides) under uncultured bacterium. Its description in RNAcentral is "partial 16S ribosomal RNA". It matches the Rfam family "Bacterial small subunit ribosomal RNA", at positions 28 to 507 of the family's 1533-position model. The record is from RNAcentral.
GAUGAACGCUGGCGGCGUGCCUAAUACAUGCAAGUCGAGCGAACGGACGAGAAGCUUGCUUCUCUGAUGUUAGCGGCGGACGGGUGAGUAACACGUGGAUAACCUACCUAUAAGACUGGGAUAACUUCGGGAAACCGUAGCUAAUACCGGAUAAUAUUUUGAACCGCAUGGUACAAAAGUGAAAGACGGUCUUGCUGUCACUUAUAGAUGGAUCCGCGCUGCAUUAGCUAGUUGGUAAGGUAACGGCUUACCAAGGCAACGAUGCAUAGCCGACCUGAGAGGGUGAUCGGCCACACUGGAACUGAGACACGGUCCAGACUCCUACGGGAGGCAGCAGUAGGGAAUCUUCCGCAAUGGGCGAAAGCCUGACGGAGCAACGCCGCGUGAGUGAUGAAGGUCUUCGGAUCGUAAAACUCUGUUAUUAGGGAAGAACAUAUGUGUAAGUAACUGUGCACAUCUUGACGGUACCUAAUCAGAAAGCCACGGCUAACUACGUG